This 375-nucleotide ribosomal RNA is filed under the name uncultured organism. RNAcentral's name for it is "bacterial SSU rRNA". It matches the Rfam family "Bacterial small subunit ribosomal RNA", at positions 526 to 896 of the family's 1533-position model. The record is from RNAcentral.
CAGAGGGGGCAAGCGUUGUCCGGACUGACUGGGCGUAAAGCGCGCGCAGGCGGAUGCGGGCGUCGGUGCGGAAAGGUCGCCGCUUAACGGCGGAGAGCGUACCGAUACGCCGCGUCUGGAGCGCGGGCGAGGGUGGUGGAAUUGCCGGUGUAGUGGUGAAAUGCGUAGAGAUCGGCAGGAACACCCGUGGCGCAAGCGGCCACCUAGCCCGUUGCUGACGCUGAGGCGCGACAGCGUGGGGAGCGAACUGGAUUAGAUACCCAGGUAGUCCACGCCGUAAACGAUGCCGACUCGGUAUCCGGGGUCCGAUAAGGACGCUGGGUGCCCCAGCUUACGCGGUAAGUCGGCCGCCUGGGGACUACGAGCGCAAGCUUA